AGUUACAUCUCCUAGCUCAUCUCUGUCCUUCUUUAAAGGUAAGAUCACUGAUUCUCCCUGUCAGCACAUAGUAUUUAUAAAUAAUGAUGUCAUUUUUUAAUGUUAUUGGUGACUGAGUUACGGGUGGAAUUUCCUGUAAUAUACCUUCCUUAAAUCCACAACCAUGAUUAUCGUCUGAAGGCUUAGAUAUGUACUUUUGUCUGCACAAUGUCCAAAAUUGAUAUUCAAUGGGAUUAUUUCAAUUGCCAAAAUUGAUAUCCUGUAAUAUACCUUCCUUAAAUCCACAACCAUGAUUAUCAUCUGAAGGCUUAGAUAUGUACUUCUGUCUGCACAAUGUCAGCCAAAAUUGAUAUUCAAUGGGAUUAUUUCAAUUGCCAAAAUUGAUAUUUUUUUUGUUGCAUAUGCUGCUUUUCCCCAUCUGGUGAGGAGGGAAUAAAUUGCCUCGUUGACAUUCAAAUACAGGUAU
This 466-nucleotide long non-coding RNA is filed under the name Manihot esculenta (cassava). Its description in RNAcentral is "long non-coding RNA (MESC_LNC000621)". Lineage: Eukaryota; Viridiplantae; Streptophyta; Magnoliopsida; Malpighiales; Euphorbiaceae. The record is from RNAcentral.